AUUGAACGCUGGCGGCAUGCCUUACACAUGCAAGUCGAAUGGCAGCACGGGAGCAAUCCUGGUGGCGAGUGGCGAACGGGUGAGUAAAGUAUCGGAACGUGCCCAGUCGUGGGGGAUAACGUAGCGAAAGUUACGCUAACACCGCAUACGAUCUAUGGAUGAAAGCGGGGGAUCGCAAGACCUCGCGCGAUUGGAGCGGCCGAUAUCAGAUUAGGUAGUUGGUGGGGUAAAGGCUCACCAAGCCGACGAUCUGUAGCUGGUCUGAGAGGACGACCAGCCACACUGGGACUGAGACACGGCCCAGACUCCUACGGGAGGCAGCAGUGGGGAAUUUUGGACAAUGGGCGAAAGCCUGAUCCAGCCAUGCCGCGUGCAGGAUGAAGGCCUUCGGGUUGUAAACUGCUUUUGUACGGAACGAAAAGGUUUGGGCUAAUAAGCUGAGCUCAUGACGGUACCGUAAGAAUAAGCACCGGCUAACUACGUGCCAGCCGCCGCAGUAA
RNAcentral lists this ribosomal RNA (500 nucleotides) under uncultured bacterium. RNAcentral's name for it is "partial 16S ribosomal RNA". It matches the Rfam family "Bacterial small subunit ribosomal RNA", at positions 30 to 523 of the family's 1533-position model. The record is from RNAcentral.